Molecule: non-coding RNA, 224 nt
Organism: Pseudomonas putida
Lineage: Bacteria; Pseudomonadati; Pseudomonadota; Gammaproteobacteria; Pseudomonadales; Pseudomonadaceae
Source: Rfam
AUCAGAGGCCCUGGCAAGGGCCUUCGAGUUGCGCUCUGACCUACCCGACCUGAGCCGAUUCGUGUCUGUACAGCCCACAAGGCGGUUUGACGAGAUUGCGACUGGAACGAAGUUGUCCCGAGGGACGGAAGCGCAUCAAACGGUAGACGGCACACCCUGAUCGACGCAGCACGGCAACCACGAGCCAACCUGCCCGACAGCCACGCCAAGGACCUGCUCACUUC